GGUUGUGUUUUUAAUUGACGAUUAUGCUCCAAAUUCACUUGAUUGUGAUGUUGUCCAGAGAGGGUGUUAGGCCCGUUGGAGUGUAUGARRCUUUUAUUGAUGCUUCCUAUGAGUCGGAUUGUUUGAGAAUGCAGUCCAAAUUGGGUGGUAAACUCCAUCUAAGGCUAAAUACUUGUGUGAGUCCGAUAGCAAACAAGUACCGUGAGGGAAAGUUGAAAAGAACUUUGAAGAGAGAGUUAAAUAGUACGUGAAAUCGCUUAGAGGUAAACGAGUGAAGCCGAAGAUGUUKUAUGGAAUUCAGUURACUGUGUGUCUUCUUGAAUUUGGCGAAAUCCAACUAGGAAUUGCUAUUUUUGAGUUUUAAUAUACAUGCGGUUGAUGCACUUUCUGUAUAACAGUMCUGCGACCGAUAGCGUCAUUUKUCUGUCGUAAUUUUGAAGGUGAUCAUUUUYUCGGAAAUGGUUUYAUAGCUGGUUACAUGGUUAAAUGAUUUAUUGGUGAUUGCGAUUAWCGGUUAUUGACUGGUUUAAUGUUGAUGGUUCUUUGAUAGACUAAAAAUAGGCUGUUUUUGAACUAUUGAUGUUUUUCAUGGUUGAUUUGUUAAUUUAAAGUCUGCAGUGUAUGUAGGUUACUUACUCGUCCCGUCUUGARACACGGACCAAGGAGUUUUAUAUGAUCGCGAGUCAAAGGGCUUUACGAAACCCCACGGCGAAAUUAAUGUAAAGGUUUACUUCGGUAAGCUGUGAUGUGACCUCGUGGAAACACAGAGUGCAACAUCGACCCGUCUAAAGAUGUUCGCAUCUGGGCGGAGUUUGAGCGAUCAUGUAGAGACCCGAAAGAUGGUGAACUAUGCUUGUGCAGGUUGAAGCCAGGGGAAACUCUGGUGGAGGACCGCCGCGGUUCUGACGUGCAAAUCGAUCGUCGGACAUGAGUAUAGGGGCGAAAGACUAAUCGAACCAUCUAGUAGCUGGUUCCCUCCGAAGUUUCCCUCAGGAUAGCUGACAUUUGUUGUUGUAGUUUUACCUGGUAAAGCGAAUGAUUAGAAGUAUUGGGGACGAAAUGUUCUCAACUUAUUCUCAAACUUUAAAUGGGUUCGAAGUGCGUCUUUCUUCAUUGAAGAUGUGCAUCGAAUACAAAUGUCUAGUGGGCCA
RNAcentral lists this ribosomal RNA (1151 nucleotides) under Dugesia subtentaculata. RNAcentral's name for it is "partial 28S ribosomal RNA". It matches the Rfam family "Eukaryotic large subunit ribosomal RNA", at positions 151 to 1133 of the family's 3401-position model. Lineage: Eukaryota; Metazoa; Platyhelminthes; Tricladida; Dugesiidae. The record is from RNAcentral.